UACGUAGGGGGCGAGCGUUGUCCGGAAUUACUGGGUGUAAAGGGCGUGUAGGCGGGGAUGCAAGUUACCGGUAAAAACCCGCGGCUCAACCACGGGCUUGCCGGUAAAACUGUAUCUCUUGAGUGUAGGAGAGGGAAGUGGAAUUCCCGGAGUAGCGGUGAAAUGCGUAGAUACCGGGAGGAACACCAGUGGCGAAGGCGGCUUCCUGGCCUACUACUGACGCUGAGGCGCGAAAGCUAGGGGAGCGAACGGG
Molecule: ribosomal RNA, 253 nt
Filed under: uncultured bacterium
Lineage: Bacteria
Description: partial 16S ribosomal RNA
Rfam family: Bacterial small subunit ribosomal RNA
Source: RNAcentral